AUGACGGGUGGGCCGGUGCUGCCCUUGGCCCCGCACGCCGGCUGCACGCGUCUUUCCAGGGUCGUCGCGUCGUCGUUCCUCGUCAAUACAGCCGCCGCGCCGCCGCGCCACCUCCCUUCUCCGGUCCUCCCUUCCCCCUCCCCCUGCAGCAGCUCUGCCGCCUCUUUCGAUGAGAUCCACCGUCUCCCGAGGUCCUUAUCCACCCCAGCUCGCGAGGAAGCCACGAAAGGAGGAGCUCAACCGGGCAUCGCCGGCCGGAGAAGGAGGAGAGGCGCGGAUGCCAGGCAGGGAGGCAGAUCGGCUCGCCUCCGCGGCAGCCAGGGAGGCGGAUCGGCUCGCCUCCGCGGCGUCUUGUGCGCCGCCGCCGCCUCUACAUCCACCUUUCUCCGCAUAGCAGCAUGUGUGCGGAAGCGGGGACAUGCGACCGCGAGCAGAUGGCGUCGGCGGCAACGGCAACACGCAUGGUGUGCAAAGUCCGAUAAGAUGGGCGUGGCCUCCCCGCAUGCGUUUCAGGAUGGCGUGCUCGACGGCUCGGAACGCGCCCGCACGGGCACAAGAGGUAUGCAUAGGAGCACGCCGACGGCAACGUGCACCGCGAGGUCGGCCAGAGCCCCUCCGUACUGGAGGAAACCUGCGACUCACCUCCACGCACAGGUCUAUGCCGAUUUCCACAAUAACACUGCCUCCAACUUUCUCAUUUCCCUAGCUCUGCAUACAAGGUCCAAGCUAGGUAUGCCAAUCUUGUUAUAG
Molecule: ribosomal RNA, 750 nt
Filed under: Triticum aestivum (bread wheat)
Lineage: Eukaryota; Viridiplantae; Streptophyta; Magnoliopsida; Poales; Poaceae
Description: partial small subunit ribosomal RNA
Source: RNAcentral